RNAcentral lists this transfer RNA (67 nucleotides) under Neoscopelus microchir. RNAcentral describes it as "tRNA-Tyr". It matches the Rfam family "tRNA". From Rfam's summary of the family: Transfer RNA (tRNA) molecules are approximately 80 nucleotides in length. Their secondary structure includes four short double-helical elements and three loops (D, anti-codon, and T loops). Lineage: Eukaryota; Metazoa; Chordata; Actinopteri; Myctophiformes; Neoscopelidae. The record is from RNAcentral.
GGUAGGGUGGCUGAGUAAGCGGUGGAUUGUAGCCCCACAUACAGAGGUUUUAGCCCUCUCCCUAUCA